RNAcentral lists this ribosomal RNA (301 nucleotides) under uncultured bacterium. RNAcentral's name for it is "partial 16S ribosomal RNA". It matches the Rfam family "Bacterial small subunit ribosomal RNA", at positions 509 to 807 of the family's 1533-position model. The record is from RNAcentral.
CAGUCGCCGCGGUAAUACGUAGGGUGCAAGCGUUAAUCGGAAUUACUGGGCGUAAAGCGUGCGUAGGUGGUGGUUUAAGUCCGUUGUGAAAGCCCUGGGCUCAACCUGGGAAUUGCAGUGGAUACUGGGUCACUAGAGUGUGGUAGAGGAUAGUGGAAUUUCCGGUGUAGCAGUGAAAUGCGUAGAGAUCGGAAGGAACAUCUGUGGCGAAGGCGACCAUCUGGGCCAACACUGACACUGAGGCACGAAAGCGUGGGGAGCAAACAGGAUUAGAUACCCGCGUAGUCCCUGUCUCUUAUAC